CUACGUGCCAGCAGCCGCGGUAAUACGUAGGUGGCGAGCGUUGUCCGGAUUUAUUGGGCGUAAAGGGAGUGUAGGCGGUCUUUUAAGUCUGAUGUGAAAGCCCACGGCUCAACCGUGGAGGGUCAUUGGAAACUGGGAGACUUGAGUGCAGAAGAGGAGAGCGGAAUUCCAUGUGUAGCGGUGAAAUGCGUAGAUAUAUGGAGGAACACCAGUGGCGAAGGCGGCCCCCUGGACAAAGACUGACGCUCAGGUGCGAAAGCGUGGGGAGCAAACAGGAUUAGAUACCCUGGUAGUCCACGCCGUAAACGAUGUCGACUUGGAGGUUGUGCCCUUGAGGCGUGGCUUCCGGAGCUAACGCGUUAAGUCGACCGCCUGGGGAGUACGGCCGCAAGGUUAAAACUCAAAUGAAUUGACGGGGGCCCGCACAAGCGGUGGAGCAUGUGGUUUAAUUCGAUGCAACGCGAAGAACCUUACCUACUCUUGACAUCCAGA
Molecule: ribosomal RNA, 492 nt
Filed under: uncultured bacterium
Lineage: Bacteria
Description: bacterial SSU rRNA
Rfam family: Bacterial small subunit ribosomal RNA
Source: RNAcentral